RNAcentral lists this non-coding RNA (26 nucleotides) under Homo sapiens (human). The record is from RNAcentral. Lineage: Eukaryota; Metazoa; Chordata; Mammalia; Primates; Hominidae.
UAGCUUAACCAGUGUCUAUUUCCUGC